UACGGAGGGUGCAAGCGUUAUCCGGAUUCACUGGGCUUAAAGGGUGCGUAGGCGGGCAGGUAAGUCAGUGGUGAAAUCUCCGAGCUUAACUCGGAAACUGCCGUUGAUACUAUCUGUCUUGAAUCCCGUGGAGAUGAGCGGAAUAUGUCAUGUAGCGGUGAAAUGCUUAGAUAUAACAUAGAACACCAAUUGCGAAGGCAGCUCGUUACACGAAGAUUGACUCUGAGGCACGAAAGCGUGGGGAUCAAACAGG
Molecule: ribosomal RNA, 253 nt
Filed under: uncultured bacterium
Lineage: Bacteria
Description: partial 16S ribosomal RNA
Rfam family: Bacterial small subunit ribosomal RNA
Source: RNAcentral